CAGGAAACAUAUGAUGGAAUGGCGACAAGGGAAAUGCCCUCUAGGAGGUUGGCCUUGCUAUGAAGCAACUCUACUGGAUGUUGAUGCUGCAACUUUUGAAAAGUUUCCCGGGACUUCAAAAGGUGUCAUAAGCGAUGCUGUUAACAGGAAAAUUGCA
This is a long non-coding RNA of Nanorana parkeri, 157 nucleotides long. RefSeq lists it as uncharacterized. NCBI's taxonomy places the organism in Eukaryota, Metazoa, Chordata, Amphibia, Anura, Dicroglossidae. The record is from RefSeq and is a predicted model, not a curated record. The transcript is spliced from 2 exons.